UUUUGUGCCACAUGGCAUGAAAGUAAAAGUUGGGUUUUACCUAACACUACAGGAUGGGCCCGCGGCGCAUUAGCUAGUUGGUAAGGUAAUGGCUUACCAAGGCGACGAUGCGUAGCCGACCUGAGAGGGUGAUCGGCCACACUGGGACUGAGACACGGCCCAGACUCCUACGGGAGGCAGCAGUAGGGAAUCUUCCGCAAUGGACGAAAGUCUGACGGAGCAACGCCGCGUGAACGAUGAAGGCCUUCGGGUCGUAAAGUUCUGUUGUUAGGGAAGAACAAGUACCGUUCAAAUAGGGCGGUACCU
This 306-nucleotide ribosomal RNA is filed under the name uncultured Caryophanales bacterium. RNAcentral describes it as "bacterial SSU rRNA". It matches the Rfam family "Bacterial small subunit ribosomal RNA", at positions 179 to 480 of the family's 1533-position model. Lineage: Bacteria; Bacillati; Bacillota; Bacilli; Caryophanales. The record is from RNAcentral.